CCCUUAGAUGUUCUGGGCCGCACGCGCGCCACACUGACGAAGUCAGCGAGCAUCUCCUACGCCGAAAGGUGCGGGGAAUCUUGUGAAACUUUGUCGUGCUGGGGAUUGAUUUUUGAAAUUCUUGAUCAUCAACGAGGAAUUCCUAGUAAGCGCAAGUCAGCAGCUUGCGUUGAUUACGUCCCUGCCCUUUGUACACACCGCCCGUCGCUACUACCGAUUGAAUGGUUUAGUGAGAUUUUUGGACUGGAACUCUCUUGUUCAGCAAUGGACGAGAGGGACUCUGGGAAGCUAUUCUAACUGUAUCAUUUAGAGGAAGUAAAAGUCGUAACA
This 330-nucleotide ribosomal RNA is filed under the name uncultured eukaryote. RNAcentral's name for it is "partial 18S ribosomal RNA". It matches the Rfam family "Eukaryotic small subunit ribosomal RNA", at positions 1470 to 1796 of the family's 1831-position model. The record is from RNAcentral.